Homo sapiens (human) is the source of this 4194-nucleotide long non-coding RNA. Ensembl annotates it as lncRNA associated with ovarian cancer 1. Its record names the gene LNCOC1. NCBI's taxonomy places the organism in Eukaryota, Metazoa, Chordata, Mammalia, Primates, Hominidae. The record is from Ensembl.
GAGACCCUCGCCAGGCUCUGAAGACGCGGCCUGGCCCUGGCCGUUCGGCCCUUCGUCUGAGCGCAAAGGCUCCAGCACCUCCGCGGCCGAAGCCGCGGGACUUUUCGUGGAAAAUGGGACCCAGCCCGAUCGCCAGCGGCGCUGCAGCGGACUCUGCGGGAACCUAGCUUCUGCUCCAGGACCUCCAGGGCCACCCCAGCUCGCAGGGCGUUCGCAGCGGCUCAGGGCGAAUCACGCUCAUGGUCCCCGUGCGCAUUUUCAGCCCCAGCCGGGGAGGGACCCAGAGCUGGAGGCUUAGCCCUGGAGAUACCGGUGAAGAUGGAUGAAUGAGAAACCAGUUGGAGCUUCCAAGGCCUGUCGUCCAUCAGGAGAAGCAAAAGGUUUUAUUCUAGAGACAAGUCCUUCCAACUGUACAGCUGAUGGAGUAGCCAAGGAAACCUGGUCUUUCCAGAGACACAUAGAAGGUGCCAUCUAUGAGGAACAGGCCUUCACCAGACAUCAAAUCUGUUGGCAUCUUGAUCUUUGACUUCUCCACCGCCAGAACUAGAUCAAGACAUGAAACCCAUGUUCAAGAUACUUUCCAGUGUGUCUUCAUGUGAUCCUCUGAGUCCAGCCAUCAGGCUACCAGCAGCUCUUGGAAACCCUGACAUACUUAUUCUUAGAAGACUGCUUUCCGGACUCAAAGUGGAACCUCAAAUUUUCAAUUUUCUUUGUUUUUAAAGCCUACACAUAGGAUCUAGUUUGAGGCCCUAAGAAGUAUAAGACAACAGUUUGAACAGAGCUCCUAUCAGACACAUGAAUUCUGCUAAAAUUGAAACCAGAACAAACAUGCAAUUGAUGGUGAAGCUUGGCUGGAAACAUGGUGAAAUCAUUGAUGAUUUAUUGAAAGUUUAUAGGGACAAUGCCUCAAAGAAAUCAGCAAUUUAAGUAAGUGGAUAACUCAUUGGAAGAAGAGAAGAGAUGAUGUUGGAGAGGAAGUCCACAGCAGCAGGCCAGCCACAUCAGUCUGUGAGGAAACAAUUCAUCUUGUUUGUGCCCUAAUUUAAGAGGACUGAUUAAUAGCAGCAGAAACAAUAGCCAACGCUGUAGGUAUCCCAAGGUGUUCAGCUUACACAAUUCUGACUGAAAUUAAAGUUGAGUAAACUGUCCACUCGGUGGGUGCCAAAACUUUCUCCCAGCUCAGCUGCAGAUAAGAGAAAAGCGUUCUAUGGCCAUUUUAAACAAGUGGAAUCAAGAUCCUGAAGCAUUUCUUCAUAUAAUUAUAGCCGGAGAUGAAAUGUGGCUUAACCAGUACACUCCUGAAGGCAAAGCACAAGCAAAGCAAUGACUACCUAGAGGUGGGCGUGGUCCCAUCAGAGUAAAAGCAGACAUGUCAAGGGCAAAGGUCGUGGCAACCGUUUUGUGAAUGCUCAAGGCAUCUUGCUUAUUGACUUUCUGGAGGGCCAAAGAACAGUAACAUCUUAUUAUGAGAGUGUAUAGAGAAAGUCAGCCAACGAUUUAGCAGGAAAACACCCAGGAAAUCGUCACCCCGGAAAGCUUCACCAGAGAGCCCUUCUCCACCAUGACAAUGCUCCUGCUCAUUCCUCUCAUCAAACAAGGCCAGUUUUGUGAGAGUUUCAAUGGGAAAUCACUAGGCAUACACCUUCCAGGCCUGAUUUGGUUACUUCUGUUUUAUAAUUUUAAAAAAUCUUUAAAGGGCACCCACUUUUCUUCAGUUAAUAACGUCACAAAGACUGAAGUGGCAUGGUUAAAUUCCCAGGGUGCCCAAUUCUUUAGGGAUGAACUGAAUGGCUGGUACCAUUACUUGCAGAAGCGUCUCGACCUUGAUGGAGCUCAUGCUGAGAAAUAAAACAUUUUUUAAUUUUUAUCUUUUAAUUCAAUUUUUUCGUGAACUUUUGAAGUCCCCUUGUAUUUGUUUUUGGUGGAACUUUGAGUCUGAUUUCUCAGCUCCCCAUGGAUGGCUGCAUCUUAACAGAGAAAUGAACGCCAUUUACCCUGAUGCUCUCUACUUGGCCUAAGUUUCAGAUGUUGAACACACACGUGUGGGAAUUUAUGAAUCUGUGCACCUGUGCCAGCUGGUGGGUGAAGUCUAAGUUUCUUCAACACAAUUAGUUAUCUUCUGCCUCCUGGAAUCUGGUAGGAAAGGUUGAGGAAAAGCAGCCAUCCACAGCGCCUCCACCACUGGAAUGGGGGCAGCCCUAACGUGUGCCCCACUGCCCCCCAUGCUGAGGAGUCCUUCACUCCAGGGAUGUCUUCACCCCAAUCAUUCAGACUCCCCCAGUGUUCCUGCGUCACCUGAAAGGUCGGAAGCAUCUCAGCACAUACUCUCCAUGAGUGGUACUUAGGCCUCCCUCCCCAUCAAUACUGAAGCCCUCAGAGGCAGAGGGGAGUCAAGGAAAAGAGUGGCCAUCAGCAAUAAAUGAGUUACAAGGUUUGAUUUCAAAGAGAAAAACUUGUCACCAAAAUCACUACUCAGGAGAUCUGGACUUCCUCUGAAUGUGAGUUAAAGAACCCUUGAGGGUUAAGAGCCAACUGCACCUGAUCCCCACUCUCCCAUCCCAAGACCCUGGGAAGUCAAACCAAGAGGUAAUCAACAGAAAACAAGUUUAAUGCAACAGGUGACAACGGUCUGGAGCGAGUCCAUGCUCCGGAAGGCUCAGUCUGUGGCAGUCCCGUGGCUCAAGACAGGCUGAGGCCGGCUGCAAUGGAGGCCAGCAGCAGGAGGAUGGCCAGCCACAGCCCACCACAGCUCUCACCCAUGCUCCCAGCAUAUUCUUUGAACACUGAUGAGUUGAUAGGUGGCCCCUCUAAAUUGCAGUAGCGAAUUUUACAACACUUGAGGUAAAAGAAGGGCAUGGGCUCUUCCAGGAGAAACCGCUUCUCCUCUGGCUUGGGUCUCUCCAUCGCUGCACAACCAGCGGAGCACUGCUUCGCAACCAUGAAAAAACGUGGAAAUAUUUCUAAUAGGAAAUAAAGACCGAGAGAAGGCAAUCACGCAAUUCCAAUGCCUGACACCGAGGCCCUUCUGUCUGGGUCAAAGCCUCACCCCUGGCGGCCCUGCUCAAAGGUGCACAGUCAACUGGGGCACCAAGGGGGAGUCGGGAGGACGAGGGCCAGGCCUGUGUGUUGAAUGCUGCUUCAGGGAAGGGCUGGCUUCUGCGUGGUAUGGCCUGUCCAUAUGCACUGGGAAUGCGGGUCUAGGGGUUGCUGUUUGGGAACAAACAGGUCUCAACUUCUCAAACACAGGGUUGGCUCAGGCCUUUGUGACCACAGACAGACACAUGACUCCCAGCCAUUCUGGCCAUCACCCAGGGUGUGGAGCUGGCCUCUUGGUGGGCCUGGCUCGACUCUGAGCUGGGGGUCUUGUCUCAUGACCACACUUCAUCUUAUACAUCACUGUACAAAUCAUUUUGCCAUAUUAAGUUAUAAAGUCGAUGUGGGCCACACUGAGUCUGAAGCAUCACCUCAGCACCCCACCAACUUCGUGGAUACCGAAGGGCUGGAGAGUGACUGCUGGGCGGAAUCAGAAUUCACGAGCCCUGAAGAUCUCCCUGUGGGCAGAAUGUGCUGGGUGUCCAGAUUCCCCUUGGGGAGGGCUUCAUGUACCCAGAGGUUUUCAGGGGAAUCACAGAUGACAGAGCAGUGGUCUCCACAAUUUUUAAGGCAUGCACCCUCCUUUGAGAACACACUUGAAGGCUGUACACCUUGGUUUUGUGCAUCUCUUGUAAGAGUGACAUAGACACUGUUCUCUGUGGCGCAUUUAACACUAUUAAAGCUUAAUUUUUCAUUUAAAAAUGGAUGAUAUGAAAUCCAGAUUUUCUUCCUACCUCCCAGUAUUUCAUCUGGACCCACUGUAGCAGGCACUGCCUUACACUAGCACAGUUCCUACACCUCUCUCUGGCCUCUGAGGACUUUGCUCUUCACAUUUUAAAGGGAAAAAAAGGCAGGGCGCGGUGGCUUACGCUUGUAAUCCCAGCACUUUGGGGGGCCGAGGGCGGGUGGGUCACCUGAGGUCAGGAGUUCGAGACCAGCCUGACCAACAUGGUGAAACCCCACCUCUACUAAAAAUAAAAAAUUAGCCAGUGUGGUGGCGCGCAUCCAUAAUACCAGCUACUCUGGAGGCUGAGGCAGGAGAAUCGCUUGAACCCGGAAGGCGAGGUUGCAGUGAGCCGAGAUCACACCACUGCACUCCAG